This 480-nucleotide ribosomal RNA is filed under the name uncultured bacterium. RNAcentral describes it as "bacterial SSU rRNA". It matches the Rfam family "Bacterial small subunit ribosomal RNA", at positions 30 to 506 of the family's 1533-position model. The record is from RNAcentral.
UUGAACGCUGGCGGCAUGCCUUACACAUGCAAGUCGAACGGUAACAGCUCUUCGGAGGCUGACGAGUGGCGAACGGGUGAGUAAUACAUCGGAACGUGCCCGAUCGUGGGGGAUAACGGAGCGAAAGCUUUGCUAAUACCGCAUACGAUCUACGGAUGAAAGCAGGGGACCCUCGGGCCUUGCGCGAACGGAGCGGCCGAUGGCAGAUUAGGUAGUUGGUGGGAUAAAAGCUUACCAAGCCGACGAUCUGUAGCUGGUCUGAGAGGACGACCAGCCACACUGGGACUGAGACACGGCCCAGACUCCUACGGGAGGCAGCAGUGGGGAAUUUUGGACAAUGGGCGAAAGCCUGAUCCAGCAAUGCCGCGUGCAGGAUGAAGGCCUUCGGGUUGUAAAACUCUUUCGGCAGGAACGAAACGGUGAGCUCUAACAUAGCUUGCUAAUGACGGUACCUGAAGAAGAAGCACCGGCUAACUACGU